This is a long non-coding RNA of Cyprinus carpio carpio, 4318 nucleotides long. NCBI's taxonomy places the organism in Eukaryota, Metazoa, Chordata, Actinopteri, Cypriniformes, Cyprinidae. The record is from Ensembl.
UUUUUUUUUCCUUUGGAGGCGGAGACCGAGCUUGCUCUUGAGCCAUGAACGCUGUAUAACAGUAUCAGUUAGUGAGACGGAAGACGUAGCUGCAGAUGGAGCGCGCUCAGAGUAGCCCAAACAGUUAAAAAGUGUUGCGUUAUCUGAAACUUAAACAAUUACAGAAAGGCACUGAACAAGGAACUAAAAGAGCACAGAACUUUUACACACCCACCCAAAUUGGAUACCACUUUGACUGGACGGCGAGGGACAGUAUUUUGAUGACCGUGGUAGUGUACCGUUUGAUUCGUCUUAAUUUGGGAUUUAGAGAGUUGCUAUUACAUGCUACGCAUUAAUACUAUUACGCACCAGUAUGUCGCGCGCCGAUGAAGAAAAAAAACUGUAUGCUUCUUUAUGUUACAUUGUGUCUACACCGGGCGUGAGCGACGCGACAGUAUCAUUGAUAGCGUGGAAGCGGCGCGGAACGACGACAGACGAAUCCCCGACAGUAAACUGAAACCUUCUCUUUCGUGUAGGCUAAUGCGCUACUUCUGACAAGAAGAACAAGUAGAUUUGCAGUGGUCGUUUGGUGGUAGUUUAUGGGUUCCAUUUUGCUAUGAAUUCCUUUGUUUUACGUUCUGUUUUGACAUGUAUUGUUUUUUUUUCUGUUUUGUUGAAUGUGAUGCUGAGCAGAGUCUAUGAGUUAGGCUAAAUAGGGCCCAUUGGAGGACUGCAUAUUGCUUUUAUUUCUAACAAAUGCAGUGCAGAAAAGUUUAAUAACAAAACUGCCUUAACCCCAAUAAAAACUACAAAAGAGGAGAAACGUGAGUGGAAUUGGAUUCAUGACGUGUGGCGAGGUCUUUUUUCGUGCUUUGGCAAUUUUUGCAGGGAUAGUGGACGAUGAUAGUGGUAGGCAUAAGUUUAGCAAGUGGGUUUUAGAAGAAUUCAGAUCCUUUUUAUUUCAGAAACAUAAAGAGUGUAAUAGCAUCAGCAGUGGUGGUCAGUAACAGAGUAGCUUUACUUUACAUAAGAUCGUACUGUUUACUUCACUACAUUUCAUAAAACAUAUCGUUACUCCUUAUAAUAGGCUAUAUCACGUGCUCCGACACGCAGAAGCGGUGUCUGAUUCAAGAACGAACUGAUUCUUUUCAAUGAACCUUUUAAAUACUGUUAGCUUAUGCUAACUGUCUAACUAACAAGCUUGCUGGUGAUAAGUUGGGGUAAUUUUUAGAUAUAAAGUCUAAAUAUUUUUAUUCAACCACCUCCUAGAUAGAUUACAUCUGGGGGAAAAAGAAAGGAUGUGAUGUUCAGAACAUGGUAACUACAGUAAUUAUCAAAGUGGGAAGUGAUGCCCUCUGGGGGCAUUUGGCCAGGGGUGUUUUUUGUUGUUGUUGUUUUUUACACCACAGACAAGGUUUGAGAAGAAAAAAAUCAUUAUGAAAAUAUAAUUAUAUUUUCCUUAAAAUGUUCUUCCUAACUAAAGGCCUUAUUCUCAUGUCAUAUAUAACUGUGCUUCACAGUGAACAUUACUACAUCAUUCUCAUCAACUUAGUCCAUAUCAACAACAAAAAUAUAUCUUGACUUCAUAUAGUGGUUAUUUUGGGAAAAUCCCAGGCAUUUUGGGCAGUAUAGGAUUAUAAAAAAUAUGUGACAAUAUAACAGGGCUCUAGAGUGCGACCAAUUACCAGUGCUACCAGCCGUUCAAGGAACGUCUCCCUGUGGUUCAACAACAGACACUAGAGCCCUGCAUUUCAGCCUGAGCCCGACGGACCCCGAGUUAUUUACACCCUUAGAGCCGAGCUUCGGGAUAAUUUUCACGACAUAGUUCAGACGCGGCCCGGGCCUCCCGCCUGUUUUAGACUUCUCCUUACUUUUAUAUUUUAGACAUCCAUCAAUUAGUGAUGAAAAAGAAAAUUGCCGGGCUGGUGGAAACAACACAAGACCAUGCUACCACGACUGUCAAGAGCGGCUGGAUGGUGUUUAGUGUCCCGCAGCAGCAGCGCAGCUGAACAGUUCUGCGUUCAAAUACACGCAAUAGGCUCAAGUUUGCCACAAAGCACCAGCAAAAGUAAUUAUAAUAAAUGUGACAGGGGGAAAUAGUAAGGAGAUACUUGAAUUAUUUAAACUAGUGUUUUCUGAAUCUGUGUCGCAAGGAUUACGUUGCUGAUCCUGACUCGCCAUCUCCUCAGACGCGCCUUUAGAGAGAAGUGCAUCUUUAAAGAUUAUAAUGAAAGAGUUUUUGUUUUCAAUUUGUUUUCUUUCAUGAAGUAAUCAUUUAAAGCUUUCUAUAGAAAUAUUUAUCGUGUCUGUGAGGUAUGUUUUCACUGAGUUUCGGUUCAUUUUUGUACUCCUGUUAAAGACGAGACGCAGAAAGCGCAUCGUGUUUGUUUUCUUUAUUUUAUAAAAGCACAACGUUUUUUUUGAGUGCACACAAAUAAAAGACCCUUUGCAGUUACGAAUGAUGUAUUACUCUUACCUUUGUGUGCAAAAAUGAUGGCGUAUCAACUGAAAAAAAUGCAAGUGAUCAUGCUGACAUCUCCAUGUCCUGAAGCGUCUCCGCACAAACUAUUGGAUAUAGCGCACAUUAAGCUGGGUCCAACGUUUAAACAUUGUUAUAUGCUUGAACUUAUAUUUAAAAAACAAAAAUUGCACCAAACGUUUUUCUAAAUUAACUUAAUAUAAAAACAAAAAUGAAAUAUAAUCACUUUGCUAUUACAUACAAAACUGAACUAUUUUAAUAGCUGAAACAGUAGUAUAAGCUGUUUAGCUGUUCAUAUCAGACACUAGAGCAUCCCUUCAUUCAGACACAGUGAAAGAUCUGAUAAGAAUUAGUGUAGAGGUGCCAAGUCUGGAAUAUUUUUGAGAGAGAGUGUGGCCAGCUGGUUUAGCCAAGGCCAAAGAUCAAGAAGGCAAAAACUACAGGAGUUGGCCAUCCGAGAGGCAUGUGACUGCAAUGGAGGAUAGUCCAUAAGACAUUGAGCCAUGAGAUGUUCAGUUUGAAGCCCUUAAAACACUUAAUUUAGAUUUUCUUUUUAUUUCAUUUAUCUUGAGAUGUUUUAAGUUUAAAUUUCAGCUCAGUGAAGCACUUUAAGCACCAACACUUUUUCAGUAAGUUACCUUUCUUGUAGAAUUGUGCUUCAAAUGAAGAACUUUAUGUUUUUGUCAGAUAUUGUGAAAAGUGGGUGUUACAUACCAGAAUGGAGCCAGAUAUCAAAGUGGAGGGCUCAUGUUGACUUUAAUCUUUAUAGCAUUUAGAGUCGUCUUACCCACAGGAGACUAGUUAUCACUUUUAGAACCACUACCACUCAAUUUUCAUAAUCUCUUUGUUCCUCAGAAAGUGUCCAUCGUGCCAGAGAGAGCCAGUGAGUGACCUUACACAGAGCCUUAACUCUGAGCCUCUAAACACAGUUGCAUAAGAUAUUUUUUUCAUUCAUUAUUACAUAUGUUUUUUCAUAGAUUACUUAAAUGUAAAUUAACAGAAUGUGUUGGUAAGUGUAAAAUAGGAGUGAUAUGUAUUGUUUAUGUCAGCAGCAACGCAGGUUUCAAUGGACAGAUGGAAGGCAGCCAUCAUCUGCACUGGUGUGGAAAUGUGUCUUACAAGGUCUCAGGAAGUUCCUGCUGUAAUGGUAAUAUAACUCUGGGAUUAAGCCAGCUGGUGGCUGACUGCUGUGGUUCUGUAGCUUACAAUCCACUUAAUGAGAUUUGCUGUAAUGGCAGUAUUCUGACUCGAAGCAGCACUUACGCGAAAUGCUGUGGCAAAGACAUGUACUUGACAACGACUCAUGUGUGUUGUGGUAAAAACAACAUAUUUCAAUGGAAGGAAAAUCAUUCUUGUUGUGGCGAGAAAACAUAUGACGAGACAAUCCACUGCUGCUGUAGUAACCCUACACCAGUAGUAAAGCAUAAAAAUGAAACUUGCUGUCUAAAAGCAAAAGAUCAUGAUAAAAAAACAGAACACCAGCCAGGCUCUCCUCCAACUCGCCCUCUGCCCAUAUUAUCAGACUUGAUUUGUGGAUCAGAAACCUACAAUCCCCAUAAACAAAUGUGUUGCUCAGGGAAUCUGUAUAAGGCAUCAGCACUUACUAAGUGCUGUGGUGGAGAUGCUUACACUCUGUCAGAUGACAAUGUGCUGUGCUGUAAUGGAAUCCUUCAUCUCAAUGUGCCUGAGCAGUCUGAGUGUGUUGGAGGUGUUAUAUAUACUCCAGCAAACACUACUUGCCAAAUGUCGACCCGUCCUCGUCUUGGAGAGCACUGCUGUGGAGGACAAACCUUCAAUCCUCGCACGCAUAUUUGCUGUAAUGGUCACAGGUAGGCCCACAGAUUACAAAGAUUUAAAAGU